CUUCUCCUCUCCGUCCUCUCUUUUCUCUGGCUCGGUUUGCCGGUGUCCCUGUUCGCUGGGUCUCCUCCUCCGACUGCGCUCCGUUCUCUACCUCGUCAGAUCUAUCACCUCUGACAUCAUUCUGGUUAAAGGUCUAAAGCUCGACGGCAUCUAAGUUGGAAUAUAUUCUCUCCAUUGCUUACCCUUGAAGCUGCUUGGUUUAGAGGGAUCGCCAACAAGUUGCAUUCUCAUCAGAUGAAGUCAUUUUUUUCCCUUUUGUGUGUAAAGUCAAAACAUUACAAUUAGUCUUUCCCCACUCUCUUAAAUUUCAAAAUGUCAUUUGGAAUUGUCCUUGCCAUGUGCCAUAAGUGGGGUUUUUUCUAACGUUGUAGUUUUUUUUUUUUA
Molecule: long non-coding RNA, 384 nt
Organism: Morus notabilis
Lineage: Eukaryota; Viridiplantae; Streptophyta; Magnoliopsida; Rosales; Moraceae
Exons: 3
Source: RefSeq, a predicted model, not a curated record